Molecule: ribosomal RNA, 540 nt
Filed under: uncultured bacterium
Lineage: Bacteria
Description: bacterial SSU rRNA
Rfam family: Bacterial small subunit ribosomal RNA
Source: RNAcentral
CAUUAAUGUACCGCCUGGGGAGUACGGUCGCAAGAUUAAAACUCAAAGGAAUAGACGGGGACCCGCACAAGCGGUGGAGCAUGUGGUUUAAUUCGACUAUACGCGAAGAACCUUACCUGGCCUUGACAUAGAAAGAAUUUAGCAGAGAUGUAAAAGUGCUAGUUUACUAGAGCUUUCAUACAGGUGCUGCACGGCUGUCGUCAGCUCGUGUCGUGAGAUGUUAGGUUAAGUCCUGCAACGAGCGCAACCCUCGUGUUUAGUUACUAACAGAUUAUGCUGAGGACUCUAGACAUACUGCCUGGGCAACCAGGAGGAAGGUGAGGACGACGUCAAGUCAUCAUGGCCCUUACGGCCAGGGCUACACACGUGCUACAAUGGCCAGGACAAUGAGACGCGAUACCGCGAGGUGGAGCAAAUCUAUAAACCUGGUCUCAGUUCGGAUUGUAGUCUGCAACUCGACUACAUGAAGCUGGAAUCACUAGUAAUCGUAGAUCAGCUAUGCUACGGUGAAUACGUUCCCGGGUCUUGUACUCACCGCCC